AAUUGAAGAGUUUGAUCAUGGCUCAGAUUGAACGCUGGCGGCAGGCCUAACACAUGCAAGUCGAGCGGUAGCACAGAGAGCUUGCUCUCGGGUGACGAGCGGCGGACGGGUGAGUAAUGUCUGGGAAACUGCCUGAUGGAGGGGGAUAACUACUGGAAACGGUAGCUAAUACCGCAUAACGUCGCAAGACCAAAGUGGGGGACCUUCGGGCCUCAUGCCAUCAGAUGUGCCCAGAUGGGAUUAGCUAGUAGGUGGGGUAACGGCUCACCUAGGCGACGAUCCCUAGCUGGUCUGAGAGGAUGACCAGCCACACUGGAACUGAGACACGGUCCAGACUCCUACGGGAGGCAGCAGUGGGGAAUAUUGCACAAUGGGCGCAAGCCUGAUGCAGCCAUGCCGCGUGUGUGAAGAAGGCCUUCGGGUUGUAAAGCACUUUCAGCGGGGAGGAAGGCGGUGAGGUUAAUAACCUCAUCGAUUGACGUUACCCGCAGAAGAAGCACCGGCUAACUCCGUGCCAGCAGCCGCGGUAAUACGGAGGGUGCAAGCGUUAAUCGGAAUUACUGGGCGUAAAGCGCACGCAGGCGGUCUGUCAAGUCGGAUGUGAAAUCCCCGGGCUCAACCUGGGAACUGCAUUCGAAACUGGCAGGCUAGAGUCUUGUAGAGGGGGGUAGAAUUCCAGGUGUAGCGGUGAAAUGCGUAGAGAUCUGGAGGAAUACCGGUGGCGAAGGCGGCCCCCUGGACAAAGACUGACGCUCAGGUGCGAAAGCGUGGGGAGCAAACAGGAUUAGAUACCCUGGUAGUCCACGCCGUAAACGAUGUCGAUUUGGAGGUUGUGCCCUUGAGGCGUGGCUUCCGGAGCUAACGCGUUAAAUCGACCGCCUGGGGAGUACGGCCGCAAGGUUAAAACUCAAAUGAAUUGACGGGGGCCCGCACAAGCGGUGGAGCAUGUGGUUUAAUUCGAUGCAACGCGAAGAACCUUACCUGGUCUUGACAUCCACAGAACUUUCCAGAGAUGGAUUGGUGCCUUCGGGAACUGUGAGACAGGUGCUGCAUGGCUGUCGUCAGCUCGUGUUGUGAAAUGUUGGGUUAAGUCCCGCAACGAGCGCAACCCUUAUCCUUUGUUGCCAGCGGUUGGCCGGGAACUCAAAGGAGACUGCCAGUGAUAAACUGGAGGAAGGUGGGGAUGACGUCAAGUCAUCAUGGCCCUUACGACCAGGGCUACACACGUGCUACAAUGGCAUAUACAAAGAGAAGCGACCUCGCGAGAGCAAGCGGACCUCAUAAAGUAUGUCGUAGUCCGGAUUGGAGUCUGCAACUCGACUCCAUGAAGUCGGAAUCGCUAGUAAUCGUAGAUCAGAAUGCUACGGUGAAUACGUUCCCGGGCCUUGUACACACCGCCCGUCACACCAUGGGAGUGGGUUGCAAAAGAAGUAGGUAGCUUAACCUUCGGGAGGGCGCUUACCACUUUGUGAUUCAUGACUGGGGUGAAGUCGUAACAAGGUAACCGUAGGGGAACCUGCGGUUGGAUCACCUCCUUACCUUA
Molecule: ribosomal RNA, 1543 nt
Filed under: Klebsiella pneumoniae subsp. pneumoniae KpQ3
Lineage: Bacteria; Pseudomonadati; Pseudomonadota; Gammaproteobacteria; Enterobacterales; Enterobacteriaceae
Description: 16S ribosomal RNA
Rfam family: Bacterial small subunit ribosomal RNA
Source: RNAcentral